GUAUAGUGCAAUUUAUUCAGUCUAACAGUAUUCAGUCUAACAGUAACACACGUUGUCAGAUUAACCAGUUCGUGAUGUACUCGACCACGGAUAUUAUGGCAAAAGUUACAAGAUCCCUCUAAUGAAAUCUACUAAAGCUGUUUGUAGUAUGUCUACGGCACCAUGCUCUUGUGUCCGAAUCCUGCAUGUGGUGACAUUGGAGAGAGCACAGUUUGUACAUCUUGUGGUUUAAAGAGAGUACCAAUUCCAAUAGAGGCUGAUACAAAUGCUGGCAUUGAUGACGACUUGAUAAAGACACAAAGACAAUAUGAUACUUCUGGUCCAAAGCUCAAUAAACAACGGUUGCAACCUGAUUUUUGCCACUUCUGUGAGUGUUUCCUCGAGACCGGAUCAAGAUUUUGCCACAAAUGUGGGGAAGAAGUACAGUGGACAGGAACUACAGGUAAUGUGAGUAAUACAGUGGAUGAUAUAAAACGAUUAAGCCUAGAUAGAGAGAAGAAGACUGUAUGCACGAAUAUGACAGAGACAAGCAAAG
Molecule: long non-coding RNA, 535 nt
Organism: Mercenaria mercenaria
Lineage: Eukaryota; Metazoa; Mollusca; Bivalvia; Venerida; Veneridae
Exons: 4
Source: RefSeq, a predicted model, not a curated record